RNAcentral lists this ribosomal RNA (253 nucleotides) under uncultured bacterium. RNAcentral's name for it is "partial 16S ribosomal RNA". It matches the Rfam family "Bacterial small subunit ribosomal RNA", at positions 524 to 776 of the family's 1533-position model. The record is from RNAcentral.
UACAGAGGUCUCAAGCGUUGUUCGGAUUCAUUGGGCGUAAAGGGUGUGUAGGUGGCGCCGUAAGUCGGGUGUGAAAUUUCGGAGCUUAACUCCGAAACUGCAUUCGAUACUGCGGUGCUUGAGGACUGGAGAGGAGACUGGAAUUCAUGGUGUAGCAGUGAAAUGCGUAGAGAUCAUGAGGAAGACAAGUGGCGAAGGCGGGUCUCUGGACAGUUCCUGACACUGAGACACGAAGGCCAGGGGAGCAAACGGG